This 69-nucleotide transfer RNA is filed under the name Marmota marmota marmota (Alpine marmot). It matches the Rfam family "tRNA". Rfam says of the family: Transfer RNA (tRNA) molecules are approximately 80 nucleotides in length. Their secondary structure includes four short double-helical elements and three loops (D, anti-codon, and T loops). RNAcentral also lists the same sequence under 1 other name. The record is from Rfam by way of RNAcentral. Lineage: Eukaryota; Metazoa; Chordata; Mammalia; Rodentia; Sciuridae.
GGGGCUAUAGCUCAGUGGCAGAGUCCUUGCCUCGCAUGCAUGAGGCAUUGGGUUUAAUCCUUAGCACCA